This 440-nucleotide ribosomal RNA is filed under the name Platyvelia alvaradana. RNAcentral's name for it is "partial 16S ribosomal RNA". Lineage: Eukaryota; Metazoa; Arthropoda; Insecta; Hemiptera; Veliidae. The record is from RNAcentral.
GGUCUUUUGUUUUUUAUAUAAGAUCAGGCCUGCCCAUUGAUUUUUAAAUAUUAAAAGGCUGCGGUAUUUUAACUGUACUAAGGUAGCAUAAUCAUUUGCCUUUUAAUUGGAGGCUAGUAUGAAUGGUUUGAUGAAAAAUUAACUUUCUUUAUUUAAUUAAUUUGAACUUAAUUUUUUAGUUAAAAAGCUAAAAUUUUUUUAUAGGACGAGAAGACCCUAUAGAAAUUUAUUUUUUAUAUAAAUUUUGAUUUUUGGAUUAUAUUUUUGAAUUUUAGAAUAAAAAAUUUUGUUGGGGUGACAGUAAAAUUUAUUUAACUUUUACUUUUAUUUUCAUAAAUAAAUGUUUUUUUGAUCCAGAAUUUUUGAUUAAAAGAUUAAUUUACCUUAGGGAUAACAGCGUGAUUUUUUCGGAGAGUUCAUAUCGAUGAGAAAGUUUGCGA